UACGUAAGGUGCGAGCGUUGUCCGGAAUUAUUGGGCGUAAAGGGCUCGUAGGCGGUUUGUCGCGUCGGGAGUGAAAACACCGGGCUUAACUCGGUGCUUGCUUUCGAUACGGGCAGACUAGAGGUAUGCAGGGGAGAACGGAAUUCCUGGUGUAGCGGUGGAAUGCGCAGAUAUCAGGAGGAACACCGGUGGCGAAGGCGGCUUGCUGGGCCUUACCUGACGCUGAGGCGCGAAAGCGUGGGGAGCAAACAGG
Molecule: ribosomal RNA, 253 nt
Filed under: uncultured bacterium
Lineage: Bacteria
Description: partial 16S ribosomal RNA
Rfam family: Bacterial small subunit ribosomal RNA
Source: RNAcentral